RNAcentral lists this long non-coding RNA (397 nucleotides) under Brassica napus (rape). RNAcentral's name for it is "long non-coding RNA (BNAP_LNC025389)". Lineage: Eukaryota; Viridiplantae; Streptophyta; Magnoliopsida; Brassicales; Brassicaceae. The record is from RNAcentral.
CAAAUAUCUCCAAAAUGCUCCAAAAUCAUCACUUAUCUCCAAAACAUUUCUGAUCUUACAAAUAUAAUAAAUAGACUCUAUAAUAAUAUAAUUAUUAGUAAAAACACGUAUAAACUAUGGAUGAAAAUGGGUCAUAUCCAUAGUCUAUCAACUCUCUCAGACUUACUCUUUUGCUUGUCCUCAAGCAAAACAAACAUGCAGUCUUUCUGAAAGAGGUUUUUAAAAACAGCAGGGACUCACAUGAUUUAAAACUUAGAAUUAUCACCUCUACAAUAUUGCAAUCCACAUCUAAGAAGUCCUAAUCACAAAAAUACAUCAUACCAUAUCCUAGCUUAGCAACCAAAUUCAUCUAGCCAACACUUAGCAUAAUCUUGUCUUUCAUUCCCCUCUACCAACC